UCUGGUUAACCCCGCAGGUUCCACCGACUCCGGGCUCGCUCUCCGAUCGUGAACCGCUGCAGCAGAUCCUCACGACCAGUCCCCGGCACCGGCAGGCAACACAAAGGCGCUGAUUGGGCCUCGACGAGCGCUCAUCCCACUCGGUGGCUGCACAGACAGGCGGGUUAUUGGUCGGCGGCUGUGUCGGAGACGCGCCCCUAUUAAGAUAUCGGCAGUGUGUCUCUGUGGAUAUACGCUGCUCAUUUCUUGAAGAACUUCUUGUUGAGGAGGAAGAUGAGCAGAUUCACGUUGACUUUGGCCUUGUCAAACAUCUUCAUCACGGCAACCCCCUCGUACUGCAGCUGCAGCAGGUCCUAGACAGACAUGGACAAUCGCAGCAGCCUAAAGAAAAGUCCCAUCCACUGAAGCAGAGGAAGCUGCAAUCGAGCGUGUGCUGCUUCAGGGAGCCAAAGAGGGCGUGCUGUUCACACCACAGCUUUUCAUACACUGCCUUGAUUUCCACCUUAUUUGUGCAUGUGGAAGAAAACACACACUAGAACAGGAGGUGGGAAAAGUUCAAAGUAAAGGAACUCCACCUAGUCACCAUUUCACCGAGACACAUGGGGCCAGAUUCUCCCUCCCAGGAGUGUUAAGCAUUUUUCUGAUAAAAUAUGACGACGCUGGCAUGACUUCAAAUAAUUAGCAUUUUGGCAAAAGGGACUGUGCUUGAAUUCUGCCAUCUGGUGCUUGCUCACCUGGUA
Long non-coding RNA from Paramormyrops kingsleyae, 740 nucleotides. RefSeq lists it as uncharacterized. The record is from RefSeq and is a predicted model, not a curated record. NCBI's taxonomy places the organism in Eukaryota, Metazoa, Chordata, Actinopteri, Osteoglossiformes, Mormyridae.